GAUGAACGCUGGCGGCGUGCCUAAUACAUGCAAGUCGAGCGAACGGACGAGAAGCUUGCUUUUCUGAUGUUAGCGGCGGACGGGUGAGUAACACGUGGAUAACCUACCUAUAAGACUGGGAUAACUUCGGGAAACCGGAGCUAAUACCGGAUAAUAUUUUGAACCGCAUGGUUCAAAAGUGAAAGACGGUCUUGCUGUCACUUAUAGAUGGAUCCGCGCUGCAUUAGCUAGUUGGUAAGGUAACGGCUUACCAAGGCAACGAUGCAUAGCCGACCUGAGAGGGUGAUCGGCCACACGGGAACUGAGACACGGUCCAGACUCCUACGGGAGGCAGCGGUAGGGAAUCUUCCGCAAUGGGCGAAAGCCUGACGGAGCACCGCCGCGUGAGUAAUGAAGGUCUUCGGAUCGUAAAACUCUGUUAUUAGGGAAGAACAUAUGUGUAAGUAACUGUGCACAUCUUGACGGUACCUAAUCAGAAAGCCACGGCUAACUACGUG
Molecule: ribosomal RNA, 497 nt
Filed under: uncultured bacterium
Lineage: Bacteria
Description: partial 16S ribosomal RNA
Rfam family: Bacterial small subunit ribosomal RNA
Source: RNAcentral